RNAcentral lists this long non-coding RNA (2085 nucleotides) under Homo sapiens (human). Its description in RNAcentral is "non-protein coding lnc-RBM24-2:1". Lineage: Eukaryota; Metazoa; Chordata; Mammalia; Primates; Hominidae. The record is from RNAcentral.
GUAGUGGGCUUUAUUAUUCUCAUGGAAGCAGGGGUCUAAGUCUUCUGCUAAAAGUGACAGGCUCAGGGUAGAUUCAGGAUUUGAGGUAAGGAAUGAUAUUCUGAAGUUGUUGCCUUGGGAAAUGGGUAAGUUUGUUGGACAACAAUGAGAAAACCAGAGAGGCUAGAAAUUAUAUGAUGGUCAUGGAGACAGUCCGGACUCAGUUUUUGGCUUAGGUUUUGCUUUUGACUGGGAUUUUUUCCCCGCUGUGGCAUAUUUCACCUCAGGGACAGGAAUGGAAGACAUGUGCCGAUGCUGGAUUGGCUGAUGUGGUAGCAUCACAGGGAAGAGAAAACUAUGGGUGGUGAUGAGCACUUGCUUAAAAUAACUGAAGACAGCUAAGAAGGAAAGCCCGGCCAGGAGUGGGGUUUGUCAACUUGGAUAACUGGCUGGGACCAGGAUAAGGAGAGGUUUAGUGGAAGUAAAAGACAGCACGUUGGGGCCGGGUGCGGUGACUCACACCUGUAAUCCCAGCACUUUGGGAGGCUGAGGCAGGUGGAUCACCUGAGGUCAGGAGUUUGAGACCAGCCUGACCAACAUGGAGAAACCCCAUCUCUACUAAAUAUAAAAAUUUAGCCAGGCAUGGGGGCACAUGCCUGUAAUCCCAGCUACUUGGGAGGCUGAGGCAGGAGAAGCACUUGAACCCGGGAGGUGGAGGUUGCAGUGAGCCGACAUUGUGCCAUUGCACUCCAGCCUGGGCAACAAGAGCAAAACUCCAUCUCAAAAAAAAAAAAAGUCAGCACUUUGGUAUGGUGGCCAGACAGGCGGUGCUGCUGAAGUGAAGUGAAGGUAACCCCCCUCGCCCAUCAGGAAUUUUAUCUCCAGCCUUGUCAACAAACAAUCAUCUUGGGCUUUAAAUCUUCCUGGUCUUGGUGCCUAAAAAGCCAGUAGCCACCUAGCUCAUCAGGCCUGUACCUGAGAGUCACACCUCUAUUACCCUCUGACUCUCAGAUCUCAGUGAUCCUUUGAUCUCUCCUUCAUGUUGCACCCCAAUAUUCUCCGUUGUCAGAACCAUGAGAAGAUGACUUAUCAUACCUUUGUAGAUUGUGAUGGAAAACCAUGGCUUCCUAGUAAAGUGCCACUGGGAAGACUAGCCUUUCCUCUGCAGGAUUUUCUUCCAUCUCCUCUCAAAACCAGAACCUUUCUUCCCAGGUGCAGGACAAGGAAAAAAUGCUCGAUGGCAGAAUUGAUUUUAUACCAACACAAAAGUUGUGUGUGUUGAAUAAGUGCUUUCCAUAUGGAAUGUGCCCAUAUGCAACAACGAGUUAGAAUGCCUGUUCAAAAGUGAAUACCAAGGUUGAAUUUAGUUAGCAAAUACCAAGGUUGAACUUAGUUAGCUGGAAGAGAGUCGUGGAGGCGCAAACUGGAAGGAAUAUUAGAGAUGGUCUAGUCCAAUCUCCUGCUAAAGGCAAGUAAACUGAGGUCUUGGCCACUCAGACUGCUCCAGCACCAGCAUAAACUAGUGGCAAAGACAAGAAUAAAACCCAGUCCCCCUGGCCCCAAGGCCAACACUUUACAACCUGAUGUUCUUAAACAGAAGCCCCCAACCCUAGGGGAUAUACAUUUACGUGCCAGAAAAUACUCCAAGCCGUAGCAGAAAUAUGCCACUUUUUCCUAAAUCUUGAAUAUUAUCUCAAGGUGAGGACGUUAAACAAAUGCUUUAUUAAAAACUAGACAUGUUAGACCAGGCUCAGGGACUCAUGCCUUUAAUCCCAGCAUUUUGGGAGGCUGAGGUGGGAGGAUUACUUGGGGCCAGGAGUUUGAGACCAGUCUGGGCAACAAAGCAAGGCCCUUUCUCUUCAAACUAAUAACAAAUAAAGCCAGCUGGGCCUUUAGUUCUAGCUACUUGGAAGCCUGUGGUAGAAGGAUUGCUUUAGCUUAGGAGUUUGAGGCUGCAGUGACCUAUAAUCUUGCCACUGCAUUCUAGUCUGGGUGACAGAGCAAGACUAUUUCAAAAAAAAAAAAAAAGAAAGAAAGAAGAAGAGGAGGAGGAAAUAAAAAUGCAUUUAUUAUUCAUUAUUGCAGAAGAAAACCAAAUUCACAUGA